CCUACGGGAGGCAGCAGUGGGGAAUUUUGGACAAUGGGGGCAACCCUGAUCCAGCCAUGCCGCGUGCGGGAAGAAGGCCUUCGGGUUGUAAACCGCUUUUGUCGGGGAAGAAACGGUCUGCGCUAAUACCGCGGGCUAAUGACGGUACCCGAAGAAUAAGCACCGGCUAACUACGUGCCAGCAGCCGCGGUAAUACGUAGGGUGCAAGCGUUAAUCGGAAUUACUGGGCGUAAAGCGUGCGCAGGCGGCUUUGCAAGACAGAUGUGAAAUCCCCGGGCUUAACCUGGGAACUGCAUUUGUGACUGCAUGGCUGGAGUGCGGCAGAGGGGGAUGGAAUUCCGCGUGUAGCAGUGAAAUGCGUAGAUAUGCGGAGGAACACCGAUGGCGAAGGCAAUCCCCUGGGCCUGCACUGACGCUCAUGCACGAAAGCGUGGGGAGCAAACAGGAUUAGAUGCCCUGGUAGUCCACGCCCUAAACGAUGUCAACUGGUUGUUGGACGGCUUGCUGUUCAGUAACGAAGCUAACGCGUGAAGUUGACCGCCUGGGGAGUACGGCCGCAAGGUUGAAACUCAAAUGAAUUGACGG
Molecule: ribosomal RNA, 585 nt
Filed under: uncultured bacterium
Lineage: Bacteria
Description: bacterial SSU rRNA
Rfam family: Bacterial small subunit ribosomal RNA
Source: RNAcentral